GAGGGUAUAGCUCAGUGGUAAAGUGCAUGCCUAGCAUGCACGAGGUCCUGGGUUCAAUCCCCAGUACCUCCA
This 72-nucleotide transfer RNA is filed under the name Camelus bactrianus (Bactrian camel). It matches the Rfam family "tRNA". Rfam says of the family: Transfer RNA (tRNA) molecules are approximately 80 nucleotides in length. Their secondary structure includes four short double-helical elements and three loops (D, anti-codon, and T loops). RNAcentral also lists the same sequence under 3 other names. Lineage: Eukaryota; Metazoa; Chordata; Mammalia; Artiodactyla; Camelidae. The record is from Rfam by way of RNAcentral.